This 465-nucleotide ribosomal RNA is filed under the name Vreelandella stevensii. Its description in RNAcentral is "partial 16S ribosomal RNA". It matches the Rfam family "Bacterial small subunit ribosomal RNA", at positions 338 to 795 of the family's 1533-position model. Lineage: Bacteria; Pseudomonadati; Pseudomonadota; Gammaproteobacteria; Oceanospirillales; Halomonadaceae. The record is from RNAcentral.
CCUACGGGUGGCUGCAGUGGGGAAUAUUGGACAAUGGGCGAAAGCCUGAUCCAGCCAUGCCGCGUGUGUGAAGAAGGCCUUCGGGUUGUAAAGCACUUUCAGUGGGGAAGAAAGCCUUGGGGCUAAUACCCUCGAGGAAGGACAUCACCCACAGAAGAAGCACCGGCUAACUCCGUGCCAGCAGCCGCGGUAAUACGGAGGGUGCGAGCGUUAAUCGGAAUUACUGGGCGUAAAGCGCGCGUAGGCGGUCUGAUAAGCCGGUUGUGAAAGCCCCGGGCUCAACCUGGGAACGGCAUCCGGAACUGUCAGGCUAGAGUGCAGGAGAGGAAGGUAGAAUUCCCGGUGUAGCGGUGAAAUGCGUAGAGAUCGGGAGGAAUACCAGUGGCGAAGGCGGCCUUCUGGACUGACACUGACGCUGAGGUGCGAAAGCGUGGGUAGUAAACAGGAUUAGAUACCCGAGUAGUC